RNAcentral lists this transfer RNA (112 nucleotides) under Candidatus Wukongarchaeota archaeon. Its description in RNAcentral is "tRNA-Leu". It matches the Rfam family "tRNA". From Rfam's summary of the family: Transfer RNA (tRNA) molecules are approximately 80 nucleotides in length. Their secondary structure includes four short double-helical elements and three loops (D, anti-codon, and T loops). Lineage: Archaea; Promethearchaeati; Candidatus Wukongarchaeota. The record is from RNAcentral.
GCGGGGGUGGCCGAGUCCGGUCAAAGGUGUUGUGGGUCAGAUGCUGGCUUUAGGCGCCAGACUUAAGAUCUGGUGGCGUAGGCCUCCGCGGGUUCAAAUCCCGUCCCCCGCA